Molecule: ribosomal RNA, 424 nt
Filed under: uncultured Planctomycetaceae bacterium
Lineage: Bacteria; Pseudomonadati; Planctomycetota; Planctomycetia; Planctomycetales; Planctomycetaceae
Description: partial 16S ribosomal RNA
Rfam family: Bacterial small subunit ribosomal RNA
Source: RNAcentral
UCGAGAAUCUUCGGCAAUGGACGAAAGUCUGACCGAGCGACGCCGCGUGUGUGAUGAAGGUCUUCGGAUUGUAAAACACUGUAAGUUAGGAGGAAAUGCAGGUGGGUUCUCCCAUCUGUUUGACCUAUUUUCAAAGUAAGCUCGGGCUAAGUUCGUGCCAGCAGCCGCGGUAAGACGAACCGAGCAAACGUUAUUCGGAAUCACUGGGCUUAAAGGGUGCGUAGGCUGUCUGAUAAGUGGGGUGUGAAAUCCCUCAGCUCAACUGAGGAACUGCGCUUCAAACUGUCGGACUCGAGGAAGGUAGGGGUAAUCGGAACUUGCGGUGGAGCGGUGAAAUGCUUUGAUAUCGCAAGGAACACCAGUGGCGUAGGCGGAUUACUGGACCUUAUCUGACGCUGAGGCACGAAAGCUAGGGUAGCGAACG